GUAGAGGGAAUGAGUCAGGCUCCGGCUCCACACUGGCACGUAGUGGGCGGAUCGCGCCGGCGCUGAGUAGGAAGGAGCUUCAGCCGCCAGCCCGGAACGCACAGCAAGCACCUGCCUCAGCUGACCCUUGAGCCAUAACCCAUAGGGCUUAUUCCAAAGGGCCAGUGUGCAAAAUAUGAAUCCAAGAUGGCAUUGUGGAAAGACGCUGUACCUCCUGUGAUAAAAUUACUUUGGUGGUGCUUUUUUCUCAUGUAUCUCGGGAAACUAAAAAUCUGAAUUGUAUUCAGUGGCCUUUUCCAAAUG
Molecule: non-coding RNA, 303 nt
Filed under: Pan troglodytes (chimpanzee)
Lineage: Eukaryota; Metazoa; Chordata; Mammalia; Primates; Hominidae
Also listed under: 1 other name
Source: RNAcentral